RNAcentral lists this ribosomal RNA (330 nucleotides) under Triticum aestivum (bread wheat). Its description in RNAcentral is "partial small subunit ribosomal RNA". The record is from RNAcentral. Lineage: Eukaryota; Viridiplantae; Streptophyta; Magnoliopsida; Poales; Poaceae.
AUGUUUACUCCAUGUUUACUUCUCACUGUUUGCAAAUUAGUAAUGUUUCGACAAGGAGUAUUGUGCAGUAGGAGUACAAUACUCUGUAUUUUGACAAACAAGUGCAACAUCUCAUGUGUGAUUAUGCAUUUAUCUGAACCUAUGCAUUUAACUCAAUCUAUGCCGAAUCUAACUGAUCCUUGUAGUCUAUUUGCAGAAUUUACAGUAAAAUUUACUCCAGGGAGCAAGAUCAGAUUACUGCAGUUAGGGGCGAGGCAAGGAGAACCUGCCUGGAGACCACGUGCGGCAGCGACGAUCCAGGUGGGCUGGGCGCGGCGAGGACCAAGUUGA